Molecule: ribosomal RNA, 420 nt
Filed under: Triticum aestivum (bread wheat)
Lineage: Eukaryota; Viridiplantae; Streptophyta; Magnoliopsida; Poales; Poaceae
Description: partial small subunit ribosomal RNA
Source: RNAcentral
AUGGCUACGUUCGCGACGUCGUCUCCGGCGGUGAUGUGGUCGGCUCGCCCCGGGCGGCUGGCAGUGGCUCGGCGGUGCGUGGUGGCGCGUGCGUCCGCGACGAUGGCGGCACCGGCCGCGGUGGCCGCAGGGAGGACCCACUACGAGGUGCUCGGGCUGGGCGCCGGGGCCAGCAGGGGCGAGAUCAAGGCCGCGUACCGGCGCCUUGCCAGGGAAGUGCACCCUGACGCCGUCGGAGGUGGCGGUGACGAGGGGUUCAUCCGGCUGCACGCGGCCUACGCCACGCUCGCCGAUCCCGACGAGCGCGCUCGCUACGACCGGGACGUGACCUGCCGCGCCGCGGGGAUGAUGAUGCGGCGGGCGGCUGCGGCCGGGCCGGCGUUCCGGCGGAGGACGUGGGAGACUGACCAGUGCUGGUAG